Molecule: small RNA, 668 nt
Filed under: Histoplasma capsulatum
Lineage: Eukaryota; Fungi; Ascomycota; Eurotiomycetes; Onygenales; Ajellomycetaceae
Also listed under: 1 other name
Description: hypothetical RNA
Source: RNAcentral
GGCACAUGGGUAAAAGCACGAAAAUAUGGUAUAUUGUUUAUGAGUAGGUGUAAGAUACGACUAUCUAUAGGUAGUAAAAUUAACGCUCGUGGUCAUUCCAAUCUUCCGUGAUUCAAGCAGAGAACCAUUACAAGCUAAAGUGGCUCCUUUUUAAUCACGAAAGUGCUUAAGAAUUUGGAGAACUUGCCCAUGUUCUUCGAACUUCCCCACAGGUAUCCAAUCUUCACUAUUGGAACUACCAGAAGCUUCAAACCGAAUCACAAUGGCAUUGACGUUGAGAUGAAAGUGAAUUAUUAUAUAAAAACUUGCACCUUGCCUAUGAGUAACAACAGCAUCUGGACAUAAUAAUAGUAAAUAAAUAAAAACAAAACAAACGAAAUAACAAAUGAUAGCGAAAGAAAAGUGUUCUGCCGUUUCCCUUUGAAAUUGCCUCUUCACUGAAAUCACCAGAUUGUUGUGAGAUCCUUCUGCCAGCCAAACCAAUGAUACAUGCGAAAUUUUGAGGGGAACCAGACGUAUGGAAGGCGUCCCCAGUUCUGGCGCCUGGAACGCUGAAGAAGAAUAUUGCGGCAUGGCGUGUGAACUUUGUGUCGCUCAAACCCCGCCCGCGCCAGACAAAGAUGCGGAUUUCCGUCUCUGCCAUUGUUGACAAAUUGGAUAAUAGCGAG